CAAUAGCGUAUAUUAAAGUUGUUGCAGUUAAAAAGCUCGUAGUUGGACUUCUGCGGGUGGCGGCCGGUCGUGCUCGAAACGGGCGUGAACUUGGCGUGCUGCCCGCAUCUUUGGGGAGAUUGUGCGUGGCAUUAAGUUGUCGUGCAUGGGAUUCUCAUCAUUUACUGUGAAAAAAUUAGAGCGUUUAAAGCAGGCCUUUGCCUUGAAUACAUUAGCAUGGAAUAAUAAGAUAGGACCGUUGUCUAUUUUGUUGGUUUACAGAUGUCGGUAAUGAUUAAUAGGGAUAGUUGGGGGUAUUCGUAUUCAGUUGUCAGAGGUGAAAUUCUUGGAUUUUCGGAAGACGCACGACUGCGAAAGCAUUUACCAAGGAUGUUUUCAUUAA
RNAcentral lists this ribosomal RNA (382 nucleotides) under uncultured eukaryote. RNAcentral describes it as "partial 18S ribosomal RNA". It matches the Rfam family "Eukaryotic small subunit ribosomal RNA", at positions 592 to 976 of the family's 1831-position model. The record is from RNAcentral.